CCUUCGGGGGAACGAUAACGGCGUCGAGCGGCGGACGGGUGAGUAAUGCCUAGGAAAUUGCCCUGAUGUGGGGGAUAACCAUUGGAAACGAUGGCUAAUACCGCAUGAUGCCUACGGGCCAAAGAGGGGGACCUUCGGGCCUCUCGCGUCAGGAUAUGCCUAGGUGGGAUUAGCUAGUUGGUGAGGUAAGGGCUCACCAAGGCGACGAUCCCUAGCUGGUCUGAGAGGAUGAUCAGCCACACUGGAACUGAGACACGGUCCAGACUCCUACGGGAGGCAGCAGUGGGGAAUAUUGCACAAUGGGCGCAAGCCUGAUGCAGCCAUGCCGCGUGUGUGAAGAAGGCCUUCGGGUUGUAAAGCACUUUCAGUCGUGAGGAAGGUGGUGUAGUUAAUAGCUGCAUUAUUUGACGUUAGCGACAGAAGAAGCACCGGCUAACUCCGUGCCAGCAGCCGCGGUAAUACGGAGGGUGCGAGCGUUAAUCGGAAUUACUGGGCGUAAAGCGCAUGCAGGUGGUUUGUUAAGUCAGAUGUGAAAGCCCGGGGCUCAACCUCGGAAUAGCAUUUGAAACUGGCAGACUAGAGUACUGUAGAG
This 592-nucleotide ribosomal RNA is filed under the name Vibrio harveyi. Its description in RNAcentral is "bacterial SSU rRNA". It matches the Rfam family "Bacterial small subunit ribosomal RNA", at positions 77 to 656 of the family's 1533-position model. The record is from RNAcentral. Lineage: Bacteria; Pseudomonadati; Pseudomonadota; Gammaproteobacteria; Vibrionales; Vibrionaceae.